GGGGGGCGGCCGCGAAAUGGCCGAGGACGCCGCGCAGGGAACAGAGUGGGGAUGCGGGACACGAGAGGAAGCGGGGGGGCCGGGGCGGCCCCGCGGCGAAAGCCGCUCGUACAGCCCUGCCCCCCCCCCCGCUCCUUCCUCCUUCCUCACCCCCCCCACCCUUUCCCUCCCUCCCGCUUCCCCCCGGCCCGGGCGGGGUGUGGGUGUCCGCGGGGACGGUGGACAUUUUGCGAGUCGCGGCUGCCCCCGGUGCGGUGGCGGCCUUGGGGUGUGUGAGACUGCGCGUGUGCUCGUGUGUGCGGGGGGGCGGUGUGCGGUGCCGGUGUGUGUAUGUGUGUGUGCAGUGUGUGUAUGUGUGUGCGAUGUGUGUGUGUGUGAGCGUGGGGGCUCCGGUGUAUGUAUGUGUGUAUGUCUGCGUGCGUGUGUGCGGUGCCGGUGCAUGUGUGCGGGGGGUGCGGUGCCGGCUGUGUGCGUGGGUUGCCGUGCCGUGUGUGUGCGAGUGCGGGCGGGGGUGCGGUGCCGGUGCGGUGCCGUGUGUGUGUGUCUGUGUCUGUGUGUGUCUGUGCGUGCGCGGCCGGCGCGGCGCGGUGCGGGGGGGCCGUGCGGGGCUCGUACGCCGGGCGGACCCGGCGGGGCGCAGCGCGGGGCCGGUCGCCGGCAGGGCCGGUCGCCGCCACCGCACGGCGUAUGUAGUACGGGGCUGGGCGGCUGCCGGAGGGUGAAUGAAGCGAGGAGGAGGCGGCGGCGGCGGGGGAGGCGGCGCUGCCGCUGGGAUGUGCCCGGCAGCAGCCCCGCUUCGCUUCACUCAGGGCCCAGGCCGGCUGCAGACGCCACCCGUCACAUUGCAGGCCAAGCCAGAUGGGCAAGCAAUACAAGCUGUGAAUUUAUUCUUGACCCCGUAGGACAGUGACCACCAUCAUUUUUUUCUUCACCCUACAGUUAUGCACUGCCAAUAAGAUCCUGGAGCACAGGGAAAGAGUUUUAAUGCAAAAUACCAGAAAAAAAAGUCUGCAACAUCUCCUGUGAGCGGGGGGAGAAAAGGAGAUUAACAAUUGCAUCUUGAAACACGCAUGAUUUGAG
Molecule: long non-coding RNA, 1080 nt
Organism: Camarhynchus parvulus
Lineage: Eukaryota; Metazoa; Chordata; Aves; Passeriformes; Thraupidae
Source: Ensembl